AAAUUGAAGAGUUUGAUCAUGGCUCAGAUUGAACGCUGGCGGCAGGCCUAACACAUGCAAGUCGAACGGUAACAGGAAGCAGCUUGCUGCUUUGCUGACGAGUGGCGGACGGGUGAGUAAUGUCUGGGAAACUGCCUGAUGGAGGGGGAUAACUACUGGAAACGGUAGCUAAUACCGCAUAACGUCGCAAGACCAAAGAGUGGGACCUUCGGGCCCCUUGCCAUCGGAUGUGCCCAGAUGGGAUUAGCUUGUUGGUUGGGUAACGGCUCACC
This 272-nucleotide ribosomal RNA is filed under the name Escherichia coli. RNAcentral describes it as "partial 16S ribosomal RNA". It matches the Rfam family "Bacterial small subunit ribosomal RNA", at positions 1 to 269 of the family's 1533-position model. Lineage: Bacteria; Pseudomonadati; Pseudomonadota; Gammaproteobacteria; Enterobacterales; Enterobacteriaceae. The record is from RNAcentral.